CUAACAAUUAGGGAGGGAAAGGGAUUGUCUUACGGUUGCGUAGAAAUUAGUGGCAAACAAUUAGAACACAGCCUGAAUCUUCUUUUUUGUAGACCAGUUAUUUCAUUCAUAGAACUCUCUAUUGAUAAGUCACUUUUUUCUACAGACCAAAUGAAAAUCUGUGUACUGCUUUGGUUCCUUUCCUCUCGCCCAGCCUUCACAUUCAAUCCCUCCACAACCUCUGAGGUUGCUACUUAUGAGUGUUCUUCCCACUUUCCCUGCAGAGCCUUAGUUCCUGUCGCUGCCAUUUCUGCUGACUUGUAACAGCCUGCUAAUGAAUUUUCAGUAUCUCCUUCACUCUUCUUCAGAUUAUUGCACACAGAAACCUCAGUUGCUUCUGGAGAUUUGGGAUUCUCAGGAAGCUGGGAAGCAGGAAAAGUUCCUCAGAGUUGCAGCCUCUUUCAGAGACACCCAAGUUCUCUUCCCAGUACGAUCUAGAACCAUAUGACUUCGGACUCUUCCCCAAAGUCAAAAUGACCAUAGGAAGUACAUGCUCUAAAUGGAUUUAGGACAUCAAGGCAGCCACAACUAAAGUCAUGAAAGAGAAUUUCAGAAGAGCUUCAAAAAAUGGCAAGAAUGUUUUCCAUUAGAGAAGGAUUUCCAUUAGAGAAGGUCUUUUGGAGAGAGGAGAGAAUGACACACAGAACAAAAUAUCAGGGCUCUGCUGGCUCUGCACCUGCCUGCACCCAGCCCACCUCUCCUAUCAUUCACCUCCGGAUUUGACCUGCUCAGCCCCUCUGGUCUCCUUGGUCUUCUUCAAACAGCAUUAAGAAGAUCCAGGAGCUCGGAUAAGUUUGUGUUGGAGCCAAAAUGGAGAACCCACUAAUUCAAGAAAUGAAAGAUUUGGGGUGAAAUUAGUUCAACAGACUGUGCAUUUAGAAAAUUGCACUAAGCUCUGCUUUAUUUAAGUAUUGCCCACACAGACUAUGUAAUGUCAACUGUCAUGAGAAAAAUGUCCCUUUUCCCACAAUAGGAUGAUUACAGAGUUCUUGAAAUAAACAUCGUAUCAAUGUUAAGAGGAGAGGAAGAAAAAUGAGGACAUAGUUAAGGAUAUUAGAAAAAAGUAUAAGAUUUUAAAUAUGCAGUUUUUAUGCAUUUUUAAAAAUAAAGAAAAUAUUGAAAGGAAAGAAUAAAUCUCUCUAGGUAUAAACAACAUAGCCAGAUUUCUGCUCCUUAAGAGAAAUUAAGCAACAAAGCAUGUUGAUAUUAGCAGUUCAAGAGCAGAGGACCAAAGGAGAACACAAAAGUAAAGGAAAACUUUAAAAAUUUAAAAAAGAAGGAGGCGAACAAGAAGAGAAAGAAGAACAAGA
Molecule: long non-coding RNA, 1349 nt
Organism: Fukomys damarensis (Damara mole-rat)
Lineage: Eukaryota; Metazoa; Chordata; Mammalia; Rodentia; Bathyergidae
Exons: 5
Source: RefSeq, a predicted model, not a curated record